RNAcentral lists this ribosomal RNA (464 nucleotides) under Vreelandella stevensii. RNAcentral describes it as "partial 16S ribosomal RNA". It matches the Rfam family "Bacterial small subunit ribosomal RNA", at positions 338 to 794 of the family's 1533-position model. The record is from RNAcentral. Lineage: Bacteria; Pseudomonadati; Pseudomonadota; Gammaproteobacteria; Oceanospirillales; Halomonadaceae.
CCUACGGGUGGCAGCAGUGGGGAAUAUUGGACAAUGGGCGAAAGCCUGAUCCAACCAUGCCGCGUGUGUGAAGAAGGCCUUCGGGUUGUAAAGCACUUUCAGUGGGGAAGAAAGCCUUGGGGCUAAUACCCUCGAGGAAGGACAUCACCCACAGAAGAAGCACCGGCUAACUCCGUGCCAGCAGCCGCGGUAAUACGGAGGGUGCGAGCGUUAAUCGGAAUUACUGGGCGUAAAGCGCGCGUAGGCGGUCUGAUAAGCCGGUUGUGAAAGCCCCGGGCUCAACCUGGGAACGGCAUCCGGAACUGUCAGGCUAGAGUGCAGGAGAGGAAGGUAGAAUUCCCGGUGUAGCGGUGAAAUGCGUAGAGAUCGGGAGGAAUACCAGUGGCGAAGGCGGCCUUCUGGACUGACACUGACGCUGAGGUGCGAAAGCGUGGGUAGCAAACAGGAUUAGAUACCCCGGUAGU